This 251-nucleotide ribosomal RNA is filed under the name uncultured bacterium. RNAcentral describes it as "partial 16S ribosomal RNA". It matches the Rfam family "Bacterial small subunit ribosomal RNA", at positions 524 to 776 of the family's 1533-position model. The record is from RNAcentral.
UACGUAGGGCGCAAGCGUUGUCCGGAAUUAUUGGGCGUAAAGAGCUCGUAGGCGGCCUGUUACGUCUGCUGUGAAAUCCCGGGGCUUAACCCCGGGCGUGCAGUGGAUACGGGCAGGCUGGAGGCAGGCAGGGGAGAACGGAAUUCCCGGUGUAGCGGUGAAAUGCGCAGAUAUCGGGAGGAACACCGGUGGCGAAGGCGGUUCUCUGGGCCUGUACUGACGCUGAGGAGCGAAGCGUGGGAGCGAACAGG